GGCUCAACCGUAGUAAGCUCUUGAAACUGGGAGACUUGAGUGCAGGAGAGGAGAGUGGAAUUCCUAGUGUAGCGGUGAAAUGCGUAGAUAUUAGGAGGAACACCAGUUGCGAAGGCGGCUCUCUGGACUGUAACUGACGCUGAGGCACGAAAGCGUGGGGAGCAAACAGGAUUAGAUGCCCUGGUAGUCCACGCUGUAAACGAUGAGUACUAGGUGUCGGGGGUUACCCCCUUCGGUGCCGCAGCUAACGCAUUAAGUACUCCGCCUGGGAAGU
This 274-nucleotide ribosomal RNA is filed under the name Clostridioides difficile. Its description in RNAcentral is "partial 16S ribosomal RNA". It matches the Rfam family "Bacterial small subunit ribosomal RNA", at positions 606 to 881 of the family's 1533-position model. The record is from RNAcentral. Lineage: Bacteria; Bacillati; Bacillota; Clostridia; Peptostreptococcales; Peptostreptococcaceae.